This 253-nucleotide ribosomal RNA is filed under the name uncultured bacterium. RNAcentral's name for it is "partial 16S ribosomal RNA". It matches the Rfam family "Bacterial small subunit ribosomal RNA", at positions 524 to 776 of the family's 1533-position model. The record is from RNAcentral.
UACGUAGGUGGCUAGCGUUGUCCGGAUUUACUGGGCGUAAAGAGCGCGCAGGCGGUCGUUCAAGUCGAGUGUGAAAGCCCCCGGCUCAACUGGGGAGGGUCACUCGAUACUGAUCGACUCGAAGGCAGGAGAGGGAAGCGGAAUUCCCGGUGUAGUGGUGAAAUGCGUAGAUAUCGGGAGGAACACCAGUGGCGAAGGCGGCUUUCUGGCCUGCUCUUGACGCUGAGGCGCGAAAGCGUGGGGAGCAAACAGG